RNAcentral lists this ribosomal RNA (765 nucleotides) under uncultured Streptococcus sp. RNAcentral describes it as "bacterial SSU rRNA". It matches the Rfam family "Bacterial small subunit ribosomal RNA", at positions 28 to 776 of the family's 1533-position model. The record is from RNAcentral. Lineage: Bacteria; Bacillati; Bacillota; Bacilli; Lactobacillales; Streptococcaceae.
GACGAACGCUGGCGGCGUGCCUAAUACAUGCAAGUAGAACGCUGAAGAGAGGAGCUUGCUCUUCUUGGAAGAGUUGCGAACGGGUGAGUAACGCGUAGGUAACCUGCCUUGUAGCGGGGGAUAACUAUUGGAAACGAUAGCUAAUACCGCAUAACAAUGGGUGACCCAUGUCAUUCAUUUGAAAGGGGCAACUGCUCCACUACAAGAUGGACCUGCGUUGUAUUAGCUAGUAGGUGAGGUAACGGCUCACCUAGGCGACGAUACAUAGCCGACCUGAGAGGGUGAUCGGCCACACUGGGGCUGAGACACGGCCCAGACUCCUACGGGAGGCAGCAGUAGGGAAUCUUCGGCAAUGGGGGCAACCCUGACCGAGCAACGCCGCGUGAGUGAAGAAGGUUUUCGGAUCGUAAAGCUCUGUUGUAAGAGAAGAACGAGUGUGAGAGUGGAAAGUUCACACUGUGACGGUAUCUUACCAGAAAGGGACGGCUAACUACGUGCCAGCAGCCGCGGUAAUACGUAGGUCCCGAGCGUUAUCCGGAUUUAUUGGGCGUAAAGCGAGCGCAGGCGGUUAGAUAAGUCUGAAGUUAAAGGCUGUGGCUUAACCAUAGUACGCUUUGGAAACUGUUUAACUUGAGUGCAAGAGGGGAGAGUGGAAUUCCAUGUGUAGCGGUGAAAUGCGUAGAUAUAUGGAGGAACACCGGUGGCGAAAGUGGCUCUCUGGUCUGUAACUGACGCUGAGGCUCGAAAGCGUGGGGAGCAAACAGG